UGAAAUGUUCAUGAUUCACCAAGUAAUGACAAAGUCAUGACUCUGAUGACACCUGGCUGAGAGGACCAGCCCCGGCAGACUGGCACUGGCCACACCCACUAGGGCAGAGCCAGAAGAACUGUGUUCUGAUGCCCUGGCAUCCCCCGGGGGCAGCAGCACCCCCGACAGGUCAGCCGGUGGGUCAUCUACACCCAGAGGCAUCAUGGGCUGGACCAACUCCCCGUGCAAGGCCACACUUCAGGAGGGAACAAGGCCAGCCUGAAGUCUCAGAGAAGAAUAAAGGUGACAGCCUUCUACGAGAACUAAGGGUUACAGAGCAGGGCGGGCUAUCUCUUUGACCUUUGGUUGUGCCGACAAGAAGCUAUGAUGUAUGGUCCAUAAGCUUGAAGACUCCUGGUUAGUGAAACGCAAUCAAAUUCUGCAUUUCAGUGGCCAGCGGGACAAAAGGCUUCUGGCAUUUCAAAAGGUAACUAUGGGCAGCAAAGCUGCACCGUAGGAAACUCCUCAACUAGAACUUGUAUUCUUCAUUACGAAAGUGGAAUAAAAGCCUCUAACAUGCUUAUUAACUUUGUCACAUCCUAAAGUGUCCUUUGAUAAACACAUUUUGCUCCACGUAGUUAGAAGAACAAACCUGCUCAAUUAUUCUAAAAUAAAAAUGACUUUUUAGCAGGUACAGUCCAGUAUUUAGUCCACAUCCAGCAAGCCCGUAGAGUAAGUCAGCCUGUUUAGCUGAGGGGUAUGUUCUGUAACAGGCUCGCCCGAGAGCCACGGUGCUCAGAAGGACUCGGACGACAGAGCAGAAAGGAGUUUAAGGACUCAGACGACAGAGCAGGAAAGGAGUUUAAGGACUCAGACGACAGAGCAGGAAAGGAAUUUACUAUGGUUUGGUUGCUGACUGCAAACAUCUGUUUAACAAAGUUUAACAACAAGGUAUUGGAGACAGACUUGAGGGAUCAUUCUUUCGCUAGUAGAGACUGAGAACUGUGUUUUUGGAACAUACCUUCCGGCCUUGUGUGCAGGUGGCCCCAGGAGGAGGGAUGGGUCUCCACUCAGCUAGGCUUUUAUUUUCUGUAAAUGCUGUCAACCUUUUUGCCUGGGUAGUUGUUCUCUAAAGCAAAGGCAUCUGCCCUUGAUCCGUGAUGCAGAAGAACUAUGUUCUGGGUCCUUGCCAGGAACAACUGUCUAUUGUUAAGCUUUUAUUAAAGGCAAGAAAUAUUUACAUAAAACUGUCUGAAGAAGAUGCAGUUCAUCAUUUCCUCUCAAGUUCAGGGCUCAUCCCUGGAUCCGGCCUUUCCCCCCGUCUCUCUCCCACCAGCAGCACUGUGGGCUCUACCUGCAGACACAUCCUGGCUGUGGCCCGCGCGCUUCCCUCAACCUUUACAGCCUCACCACAGGUCACCCCGGCGCCACCUCUCAUCCAGACUGGACUUUCUCUUCUACUCUGGUUGUACCUGGCGUUAGUACGCCAUGUG
This is a long non-coding RNA of Nycticebus coucang (slow loris), 1472 nucleotides long. RefSeq lists it as uncharacterized. The record is from RefSeq and is a predicted model, not a curated record. The transcript is spliced from 3 exons. NCBI's taxonomy places the organism in Eukaryota, Metazoa, Chordata, Mammalia, Primates, Lorisidae.